GAUGAAGAACGUAGCGAAAUGCGAUAAGUAGUGUGAAUUGCAGAAUUCAGUGAAUCAUCGAAUCUUUGAACGCACAUUGCGCCCCUUGGUAUUCCAUGGGGCAUGCCUGUUCGAGCGUCAUUUGUACCUUCAAGCUCUGCUUGGUGUUGGGUGUUUGUCUCGCCUCUGCGUGUAGACUCGCCUCAAAACAAUUGGCAGCCGGCGUAUUGAUUUCGGAGCGCAGUACAUUUCGCGCUUUGCACUCGUAACGACGACGUCCAAAAGUACAUUUUUACACUCUUGACCUCGGAUCAGGUAGGGAUACCCGCUGAACUUAAGCAUAUCAAUAAGCGGAGGA
RNAcentral lists this unclassified non-coding RNA (337 nucleotides) under soil metagenome. Its description in RNAcentral is "partial contains 5.8S ribosomal RNA, internal transcribed spacer 2, and large subunit ribosomal RNA". The stretch from base 1 to 120 matches the Rfam family "5.8S ribosomal RNA", at positions 35 to 154 of the family's 154-position model. The record is from RNAcentral.